UUUGUUAAUUGACGUUUUACUGAUCGACGCCAAUCGGCGUGUGAUGUGGUCAGCGUUCGCACAAUUUUCUUACCGACACGGCUCGACAAUAAUAACGAUAUCAUACUAUACCGGUGUGUUGUGUUUGACGAUAACAAUUACGGACUCGCUCGUCGAUGAACCAUUAAUACGGUCAAGGGAAUAAGUAAACUCCAUUUUCGGAGUUUCCCCCGGAUCGACUGACCAUUAACAGCACCUAUCUAUCAAGAUAUAAUCCGUUUAGAACGCGGACUUUUUCGAGGAGUCCGUGGAGGAAAAAUAGGAAUGUGUUGUCAUUGUGUUGUGCCCGUGUAAGCGUAUUGUAAAUUAGUUGAAAUACACUACAGCGCGACCUCAGAACAAUAUCGGAUAUAAAAUAAAAGAACAAAACCGAAUAUAAAACACUUGGAUCACAUACAAUUUACAGUAUGGUCAAAGACAAGGCAAUACAUCGUGACAAAAUGAUAACGAAUGAUAACAACUACAAACGUUCAAUGUUCAUAUCUUUAAAUUUUACAAUUGAUCGAUUCACUCCAGUAUUAAAACUAACGGCACAAAAUCGUCCCUGAUGAAAGGAAAUUUGCUAACGCAUACACGAGUAUCACGGCCUCUUGAACACGGUGACACCGAUUCUCGCGGCUUACUUAAUAAUAUUAUUUACGUGUACAUAAAAAUUAAUAGGGAUAAUUUGUUAUUUUUUAUUUCGAAAAUCAAAAAAAAAAA
Cinara cedri is the source of this 741-nucleotide non-coding RNA. Lineage: Eukaryota; Metazoa; Arthropoda; Insecta; Hemiptera; Aphididae. The record is from the annotation of a GenBank genome assembly.